This 253-nucleotide ribosomal RNA is filed under the name uncultured bacterium. Its description in RNAcentral is "partial 16S ribosomal RNA". It matches the Rfam family "Bacterial small subunit ribosomal RNA", at positions 524 to 776 of the family's 1533-position model. The record is from RNAcentral.
UACGUAGGGGGCUAGCGUUGUUCGGAAUUACUGGGCGUAAAGGGCUCGUAGGUGGCCAACUAAGUCAGACGUGAAAUCCCUCGGCUUAACCGGGGAACUGCGUCUGAUACUGGAUGGCUAGAGGUUGGGAGAGGGAUGCGGAAUUCCAGGUGUAGCGGUGAAAUGCGUAGAUAUCUGGAGGAACACCGGUGGCGAAGGCGGCAUCCUGGACCAAUUCUGACGCUGAGGAGCGAAAGCCAGGGGAGCAAACGGG